Molecule: long non-coding RNA, 924 nt
Organism: Catharus ustulatus (Swainson's thrush)
Lineage: Eukaryota; Metazoa; Chordata; Aves; Passeriformes; Turdidae
Exons: 4
Source: RefSeq, a predicted model, not a curated record
UAAACCAAUAAAUACAGGACUAGAAAGACUAAGAAAUAAGCAUUGAUUUGUGACUAAACUCCUCCAAGUUUUCCGUUUCUAUGAGAUGUCCAGCCCCAUCUCUGCUCAGGAGAAGUCUAAAGUCCACAGUCCAUUCCUCAGCAGGUAGCCCUGAUCUUUUGCAUGAGGAAGUCUGGAGAAGUUAAAGGAAGUCAGAGGAUGUGCUUCAUGACUCAGAUGCUUGAUGGAGUCCUUCACCCUCCAAACAUGAAGCCAGACAUUAAUACAACUCCAGUGCAUUGAGAAGAAGAAAAGGCUAUCAAGGAAUAAAAAAUGGACCAGAAUAUGGCAGAAAAUAACUAAGCCAAGCACAAGCACUACCCAAAUUUAUCAAUUUAUUGCACAUCUUCAGACAGCAAAGGAUGUAAACAUGGAAGAUUUGGACUGUUUUGAUCCUGAAAGUGUCACCUGCCAAGAAAUUCGCACCACAAGGAACAGCCUUUUCAGAAUUACUGUCAAGAAGGUGGUGGGAUGGGAAAGAAAUAGAGAAAUGUCCUGCUGGUAGUUUCUCCAUUUCUCCUUCCUCCUCCUGCUUGGAUGCCAGCAGAGGGAGCGGUCUGCAGUUCCAAGAGAGUUGCUGCUUUCAGCCUGGCGUGUGCUACUGCAGGCACAGGGAUGCACCACACCAUCAGCAGAGAUGGAAGAGCAUUAACACCCAGAGAUGUGAUACCUUACAGUAAAUUCAGUUAAUCUCUUAGUGCUAGCUAAAUAAAGGAUAACUGUAAAAAUGUCAUCUCAUGAUGAUUCAUCUCUCAAUUCUACGUCUCUUUUGCUUCCACCUUUUAUCCUAUGUCUUUAUUCUUUCUUGGGGAAAGGGAUAAAAUUUAAACUAACUCUUUUUGCUCAGAGAAAUGUAAAAAAAUGCAACCCCUCUCCUCUCUGUAA